AGUCUCCAGAGCACUGUCUAAUGUAACCCACUUCAGUCAUCUUGAGAGAGAACAACUGCAAUCCAGGAAGUUAUUUCUACGAGAACAGAUCUGUUUGCAAACUUUUUAUCUAGUCAGAAAAUCCACAACCACUGAAUCACAUUUCCUAUCAAAAAAACUUUUAGCAAACAUAAGCUACUCAACCAAAACUCAUCUUGUCUGACCAUUCCCAGAAGCGAGCGAGUGAUGCAGAAGAAUCUGAGCAACCUAUAGCUGCAAAUCCAAACCCAGAUCCAAUUUCCUCAUUGUGUACAAAUCACAAAGCUGUUGUCUGCUGUAAUCCAAGCAAUCAUUGCUUCCAGCUCUUUUAGCUCACCCGGCGGAAAGUCAUCUUUGCAUCUACCGCAUUCAAGCCUUCCUGAGGGUUAUAGUCAGGAUCAGUCAGAUAACAAAUGCUUUCUGCUUUCUGAUGGGUCGGAUGAGAUGGACUCCAGGACCAAAUGGCUCCCUCUUGCAGUUAGUCAGGGGUUAGACAGUUAUCACUGGCUUCAGGAAGGGCUCUUCUAGCCCAGAUUCCCCUAUCAGCAGCAACAAGGCACAGUGGGAACAACGUUGGCUGGCUAAGGAGGCUGGUGCCUAUGAGAAGCCAACAGGGAAGGGGGCCAGCUGGGAUCUUGUGCUUGCUCUGGGCAAAAGAGGCGCAAAGGGAGGGAGAAACCGAGAUGCUCUGAAGCAGGGAUUAAGGUUUACACAUGGGUUGUGUACACUGGCACAAAAUUGACAUUUACUAACAUAAAGGGGAACACUUCUGCCUUUCUAGGCUUAACAGCCUUUUCUAAAGCGAUGAUUGAAGGGGCCAGAAGACACCAAGCAGUCAACUGCGAUGACCACAGGCUCUGUACGAGCUCCACAACACUGAACGUCAGCACAAAGAUAGCUGUGGGACCUGGCUCUCAUGUGUCUGUGGUGGGUAUCACACAUGGGUGUUAAGAGGUGGGGAUUCAGGGUGUACUGGAUGAUGUCAGCGGGGAAAAAUUGCUCCUCCCUUGGCAGAGUGGCAGCACAAAGCAAUGUGAGACCCUGUGCACUCUCCUGAGUGCUUUGUAAGCAAAGCUGUGAUACAGUGAGAGCUGCCAGCCUGGCUUCCUUUCCCCAGAUGGGAUAAACCAUCCCCAGUGCUCCAUCCCAACCCAUGUACUGUCCAGUCCCAGCCAUUAGCCCUCUCUGCUGCUCCUCAGCAUGGGAGCCAAAGCAAACAUUCCCCUGCUAAUGAGACAGGCUUCCAGUGCCUGCUGAUGCCUGGUGCUCCCCAGCUCCCCCCAUCAUUGCUCACCUCGUUUACAUGUCUUCAUUUGCCAAGCACCGUCUGAACACUUUGUAGGCUGCCUUCUCCCCUGAGCUCCAGAGCUAUGAAAAGGUCACCUGCCUGACAGGGAGAGGCACUGGAAGUAAACUCAUGUGUUUUCCUCUAUUCAAACACCAGAUGUGACGUGGGAAGAUGAACCAGCUGCCAAGAACCCACUUGGCAUGUACGCUGCCAUGCAGCACUUUGUCCAGGCCCUGCCUACCUGCCACAUAUCAUUAGUUGUUCCUGUUUCAAGGCUGUACCUCUCCGUGCUGUCUCGAUGUUAUGGAUGCCUUAUUUCUCCUUGGAAGUAGAAACCUGUGGGUGCAUACUAAAAACCCCAAAGCACUGUACAGAUAGCCACCCUUUAGAUUACCUGGGAGACCUGACAUGCCUGUUACUGUAGGUGCGCACAUGGAAGCAAAAGAGGGCUCACAAGAUCUCUUCCUCCCCUUGGAAACUCAGGAUACAGAACUGUGAUGCUGCCUGGAGAGAAACCCCCAUGACAAGCAGUAGCAGCUCCCUGUCUGCCACGAGGGCAGCAAACCCAGUUUGAACUGUUAUCUUCAUGCAUGCUGUGUAGCUUCAGGGACUAUGACCUUGGUUUGAAAGGUAUUUAAUGUCUACAAGGAAGAUACAGUCAAAACAAUUUCCUUCUACCAAAGUGAAACAUAGCAGAAAAAGAAAUGAGAAGGAGUGAGAGGAGACUGGGCAGUGCUUCAGUCAGUCCUAUUUUGAGGGAGAUGUCUGCUUGGGGCAGCCCUGGGUGCUGAGCUGGCCCUAGGUGCUCAGUUCUGAAUGCUGAAUCUGAACCAUCUCUGAGGAUGGCACAGCUGGAAAUGGACCACAAAACAGAGAUCUGAGGGGAUGCGGGCAGGCUAGUGGUAGUUUGGGCAUCCCCUCUGCCUCCUUCACAAAGGCAUCCCAUUUACUGUUUUCACAGUUCCUAUUUAACACGUGGAUGAAGCUUUUUUCCUCUCUAGCAGCUAUAGCGACAAGCCUUCCAGCACAGCCCAUCCUGAUGGCUUAGAGUGGAAAUGGGACAAGGGGAAAAGUGAGUCAAAACAGGUCUGAGACAUAGCAAGCAGCUGUCCAGAGAUACCUGAACCUUCCUUGCAAUGCUCUCUGUAAGAUUCAUCCAUUCCUCCCAUGGCAAUGGAACCUGGGUCUUGAUUCCUCUUCUGUGUCCAGAAUGUAUUUGCAGAUGUGACAGCUUCCUCCAUGUAGACCCCUAUCUCCUGACUGCCCCAUCCAGUCUCUUGCUCUUAGCAUCUGCUGCAAGGAACAUCAGGGCGCUUGUUGGAUGCUUACACCAAAGGAAGAGGCUGAGGGCAAAUCCAUGAGAACACUUUGCUGUGUCCUUCCCUGACCUGUGUAACUCCAGCUUUGUGUCCCCUGGUGCUGUAUUUACACUACAAGUGCUUUGACUUUUGCUUUGUCUUUUCACAAUGAGCAGUACCAGUGAAAUCUCAUCCACACCUGCGGUUCUCAGAUGUCACCACAAUAAAAACCAUUACAAUA
This is a long non-coding RNA of Pezoporus flaviventris, 2845 nucleotides long. RefSeq lists it as uncharacterized. The transcript has 2 exons. NCBI's taxonomy places the organism in Eukaryota, Metazoa, Chordata, Aves, Psittaciformes, Psittacidae. The record is from RefSeq and is a predicted model, not a curated record.